ACACUCCUGCGGGAGGCAGCAGUGGGGAAUAUUGCACAAUGGGCGCAAGCCUGAUGCAGCCAUGCCGCGUGUAUGAAGAAGGCCUUCGGGUUGUAAAGUACUUUCAGCGGGGAGGAAGGCGAUAAGGUUAAUAACCUUGUCGAUUGACGUUACCCGCAGAAGAAGCACCGGCUAACUCCGUGCCAGCAGCCGCGGUAAUACGGAGGGUGCAAGCGUUAAUCGGAAUUACUGGGCGUAAAGCGCACGCAGGCGGUCUGUCAAGUCGGAUGUGAAAUCCCCGGGCUCAACCUGGGAACUGCAUUCGAAACUGGCAGGCUAGAGUCUUGUAGAGGGGGGUAGAAUUCCAGGUGUAGCGGUGAAAUGCGUAGAGAUCUGGAGGAAUACCGGUGGCGAAGGCGGCCCCCUGGACAAAGACUGACGCUCAGGUGCGAAAGCGUGGGGAGCAAACAGGAUUAGAUACCCGGGUAGUCCCAUGA
Molecule: ribosomal RNA, 476 nt
Filed under: uncultured organism
Description: partial 16S ribosomal RNA
Rfam family: Bacterial small subunit ribosomal RNA
Source: RNAcentral